CUUCGUUCGGCUUUCAGUUUAUAGAUACCGUUCUGUGAAGUAACAUCGUGACGUGUGAGUUGAAUCUCAAACUUUUUUUUGUGCUUCUUGAACAAUAAGUGAUACAAUUAGUGAAUAGUUUUAAACUAUGAGAACUAUACGACAUCUUAGAAUAUAAUAAAACAUGGUUUAACUACGUUUUUCGCAGUUACAUAUUUUUUAAGGGGGCGAGAGUAUGGGAACGCAUCAUCGACUCGGCGGUGGCGGCGUGUAAAAACGGUGGACAAGGGAAGCAUGGGAAGAAAAGCGGGCGGUGGAAGAUUUGUGGUCGCGGGGGGGAGGAAGGGCUCCCAAGGAAUCGCGUUGGAGGAAGGGAAAAUUGUCGAUGCAGUUAGCGUUUGAGAGGCGGCCACGAUGGAAAACGCGGUGGUGAACGAUGGUGGACGAGUGGACGCUGCUUCUCAACAAGUGUCGUUGUUAAGAAGUUAAUCGCAGCCAUGUCGAACGAGACAAAUGCCACGGACGAUUUCCUCGAUUACGAUAUCAACGACUCGUUGAGCCACUUCGAUUGGGCGGAAUUGGGGCCUGUCCUCGUCGUGUACUCCCUCACGUUUUUCCUCGGAUUAAUCGGAAACGUCGUCAUCAUUGGUUCAACACUGUGCCCCAGACUGAGACCUUUACCAGCGACACCGACCAACGUUUUUCUAGGCGGUUUGGCAACUGCCGAUCUUUUGCUUAUUCUUUUUUGCAUUCCUGUCAAGGUGGCGAAGCUGUUCUCAUACACGUGGACUAUGGGCCUGUUUCUAUGCAAGUCGGUGCACUAUAUGCAGAGCGUCUCGGCUAUUUGCUCGGUCGUCACGUUAACCGCAAUGUCGAUCGAAAGAUAUUACGCCAUAGUUCACCCUAUGCGGGCCCAGUACACGUGCACGAUAAGCCAGGCUCGCAAAAUAGUAAUUACAACUUGGGUGGCGUCCUUCCUUCUCGGUAUACCAAUGAUCUUCACACAGACACACAAGGAAGUUGGAUUGAGGGUAAUCGCUUACUGGUGCGUCCGUGAUUCCGAAGGUGGACUUUUAUGGCGCGCCCACGAGGUUUAUAUGCUGGUGUUGGUCCUGGUCUUACCCCUAGCCGUGAUGGCGUAUUGUUACACGGCAAUUUGCUGGGAGAUUUGGCGAGUCAUGAAGCGGCGAUAUCACAUGACAUCACGCCGCGUAUUGAAUCCAAGUAACGUCGACGCAGAAUCCAUACCCAUGACCCAGAGGAAUAGCGUACGAAACAAUAAUCGUCGUUCUCAACGAGAGGACAAUCAAACCGAAGAAGAGUCUCGAACGAUAAGACAGUUGCAUAAAUCCAAUCGUUUAUGGAUUUAUGUCGAAACACUUCAGGGAGAGUUUCCUGGCCGCUGCCUGCGGCAGCUGGUGGAUCUGUUGUCCCCGGAGAGGGUACAGGGCGCCGGUGAAGAGGCAUCCGAGCCUAAGCCAGACAAGGACGACCAGUAUAAGGUGGACGCGAAACUCCUUCCAGGAGUCGAAGUAUCGAAACUCGAGCGACAACCAUCUCGUAGUACACCCUAGCGUGAAUUAAACAGUUUGGCAACGUAGGUCCACCAGCAUCCGAAAUAUCAAAUAUGCAGAGAUGGACUUGAUUAUUUCGUCGUGCCCGGCCCACGUCGAGGCAAUUGUGUCACAGGUAAAAAUCUGGUCGGCCAUUGAACUAUGCCAGAAGAGGCUAUAGAAAGAGGAAGAAAUCCUGUUCCUAAUGAGAAAGACGAUGCUACUUCGAGUUUAUCGUUGAAUAAUCAACGAAUUUCGAAACGAUUUUUCACCACUUUUUCGCCAAAUGUCGUAUUCCUCGAGCGUGAUAUGAUGCUGAAAGCUCAUAUUUGAAGGAAUAUAGACAGGAUUUUUUAAUCGUGAAAAACUGGAAUAUACCUGGAAUAUUAGAGUGAAAGAACGAAACUUUCAAAAUCUAAUAUUCGAUAAUAUUUAAAAAUCGUUUACGAAUCGAGAUGAAAAAGAGGAGAAAGAUUGUGAGGCUCGAAGAGGGUAAAAGCUCUUUCUCAAAUCUCUGAUUAAUUGUAAAACAAUGUAAUCUAUGUGUCUAUUUAUUUGUACAUACAUAAAUGUAUAUAUAUAUAAUAAUUUUCAUUAUCCGUUUCGUAAAACUGCAUGCAGAUCACCAUAUCGAGCAAAUAAAAGAAGAAACAAUAAAU
RNAcentral lists this unclassified non-coding RNA (2191 nucleotides) under Apis florea (little honeybee). RNAcentral describes it as "qRFP-like peptide receptor, transcript variant X4". The record is from RNAcentral. Lineage: Eukaryota; Metazoa; Arthropoda; Insecta; Hymenoptera; Apidae.